CUACGGGAGGCAGCAGUGGGGAAUAUUGCACAAUGGGCGGAAGCCUGAUGCAGCGACGCCGCGUGAGGGAUGACGGCCUUCGGGUUGUAAACCUCUUUCAGCAGGGACGAAGCGUAAGUGGCGGUACCUGCAGAAGAAGCACCGGCCAACUACGUGCCAGCAGCCGCGGUAAGACGUAGGGUGCGAGCGUUGUCCGGAUUUAUUGGGCGUAAAGAGCUCGUAGGCGGCUUGUCGCGUCGACUGUGAAAACCCGCAGCUCAACUGCGGGCCUGCAGUCGAUACGGGCAGGCUAGAGUUCGGUAGGGGAGACUGGAAUUCCUGGUGUAGCGGUGAAAUGCGCAGAUAUCAGGAGGAACACCGGUGGCGAAGGCGGGUCUCUGGGCCGAUACUGACGCUGAGGAGCGAAAGCGUGGGGAGCGAACAGGAUUAGAUACCCUGGUAGUCCACGCUGUAAACGUUGGGCGCUAGGUGUGGGGGGCCUCUCCGGUUCCCUGUGCCGCAGCUAACGCAUUAAGCGCCCCGCCUGGGGAGUACGGCCGCAAGGCUAAAACUC
Molecule: ribosomal RNA, 553 nt
Filed under: uncultured bacterium
Lineage: Bacteria
Description: bacterial SSU rRNA
Rfam family: Bacterial small subunit ribosomal RNA
Source: RNAcentral